This 483-nucleotide ribosomal RNA is filed under the name uncultured bacterium. Its description in RNAcentral is "partial 16S ribosomal RNA". It matches the Rfam family "Bacterial small subunit ribosomal RNA", at positions 28 to 523 of the family's 1533-position model. The record is from RNAcentral.
GACGAACGCUGGCGGCGCGCUUAACACAUGCAAGUCGAACGAUGAAGCUGGAGCUUGCUCCGGUGGAUUAGUGGCGAACGGGUGAGUAACACGUGAGCAAUCUGCCCUUGACUCUGGGAUAACUGCAGGAAACUGUAGCUAAUACCGGAUAUGAGGCUCGAAGGCAUCUUCGGGUCUGGAAAGAAUUUCGGUCAAGGAUGAGCUCGCGGCCUAUCAGCUUGUUGGUGAGGUAAUGGCUCACCAAGGCGACGACGGGUAGCCGGCCUGAGAGGGUGACCGGCCACACUGGGGCUGAGACACGGCCCAGACUCCUACGGGAGGCAGCAGUGGGGAAUAUUGCACAAUGGGCGAAAGCCUGAUGCAGCAACGCCGCGUGAGGGAUGAGGGCCUUCGGGUUGUAAACCUCUUUUAGCAGGGAAGAAGCGAAAGUGACGGUACCUGCAGAAAAAGCACCGGCUAACUACGUGCCAGCCGCCGCCGUAA